CUGGAACCUUAGGCAGCAGAGGAGGCAUGUCAGGAACAAGCAUGAAAGCUGGAGAUGAGACAGCUCAGAUAUCAAGGAAUAUAUGAGGAUGCCAUCAAGAGCAGCAGAAAAUUCAACACCUCGUUUUUUGGACAGAGACAGCCUCUUGGAUUUGUACCAUUGGUACUGCCCGAGACAUUAAAUGGUAAUGAUGCAGUUACCGUUAUUUGCCAAUUGAAGUGAUUCCUGAAGAAGCACAGGGACAUUUAUUUCCAAGCUUUAAAGGCUUUUGUACUUCAUUAUUGGAUUUAGAAAAUAAAGCAGCC
RNAcentral lists this long non-coding RNA (305 nucleotides) under Callithrix jacchus (white-tufted-ear marmoset). Its description in RNAcentral is "lncRNA (ENSCJAG00000086189.1)". Lineage: Eukaryota; Metazoa; Chordata; Mammalia; Primates; Cebidae. The record is from RNAcentral.